GAUUAUGGCUCAGGACGAACGCUGGCGGCGUGCUUAACACAUGCAAGUUGAACGGUAUGACAUGGAAGCUUGCUGAAGUGUCAUAUAGUAGCGGACGGGUGAGUAAUGCAUGAGAAGCUGCCAUUGGGAGGGGGACAACAGUUGGAAACGGCUGCUAAUACCCCGUAUGCCGGAAGGUGAAAAGGGAGCGAUCCGCCCGAUGAGGUGCUCAUGUCCUAUCAGCUGGUUGGUGGGGUAACGGCCUACCAAGGCGACGACGGGUAGCCGGCCUGAGAGGGUGAACGGCCACACUGGAACUGAGAUACGGUCCAGACUCCUACGGGAGGCAGCAGUGGGGAAUAUUGGGCAAAUGGGGGCAACCCUGACCCAGCGACGCCGCGUGGGGGAAGACGGCCUUCGGGUUGUAAACCUCUUUUGUACGGGAAGAAGGAAGUGACGGUACUGUACGAAUAAGUCCCGGCUAACUACGUGCCAGCAGCUGC
This 482-nucleotide ribosomal RNA is filed under the name uncultured bacterium. Its description in RNAcentral is "bacterial SSU rRNA". It matches the Rfam family "Bacterial small subunit ribosomal RNA", at positions 15 to 518 of the family's 1533-position model. The record is from RNAcentral.